RNAcentral lists this unclassified non-coding RNA (1162 nucleotides) under Hevea brasiliensis (rubber tree). Lineage: Eukaryota; Viridiplantae; Streptophyta; Magnoliopsida; Malpighiales; Euphorbiaceae. The record is from RNAcentral.
AUUGUGUAAAAACUUCACUUUAUACUCAUGCUUUAAAAUUUGUAAUCCACUGAUAUGAUGUUGCAUCUACUGGAUGAUCUUUGAACUCUUUCUGUUCAUUGCUGAGGAGUGAGGGUCUGGCCUUAUGUUUUAUUUGGGUUUCACAUUAGCAUGGGCGUAUAGAGACCAGUGUUCCAAAAAUAUUUUAGUUCUUGCGAUGUGUGUAUGUGCUGCCCUUGCAUGAAGUAUCCUAUCCCACUGAUGGUCUUUCUUUCUUGAAUGUGAUCGUGAAGUUGAUAUGCAAGGAGCUUGUUUAUUGGUCUUGGAUGGAGUGAAUUAAAUAUUAGAUAGUUUGUUCCAUUUGUUCGUAGCAAAUUGAACCAAAUUAAGCUCCAUAAUGUGAUCACCUUAACUCCAUGAUGCUUAUAUUUGGUAAAAUAUGUAAAUUUUGUUCAACAUGAGGAAAGUAAAAAACAAUUUCAAAUAAUUUUACUUUUCAUUAAAAAAACUUUUUCGCCUUUUGAAAAUUGUCUUUUGCUAUCUAACCAAAAAGUAUUUUUGUUUCUUAAAAUAGCAAAAAAGAGCAAUUUUAGCAAGUUAUUUAAACAGGGCAUGGGAGUAAGUAAGAAGGGUUGAAGAGUGGUUGCAAAUGGAGGUCAACUCUUUGAGGUUUUCUUUUAGGAUGUAAUGGGAAGUUAUUUACAUUUGUUAAACCUCCUAAGUCCUAAUAUCCAUUUUUGUUGACUCCUAAAGUAGGGGUUUAAAGGCUAUAAUGAAAAGUUUUUAAGUAUUUACAACCACUAACUUUUUUAUUCUUUUAAAAUUACCAAACAAAGUGAACUUAAUUAACAUUGCUUUACAUUCUUUUACUCCCCUUUAUAUUGCAAUUAAAAUUCUCAUGCAAAUGCGAUGUGUUAAUGUUUGUUUAACCCUCCUUCCUUGGUGGAGCCCAAGCUCAAACUAUAGUGCACAUCGUUGGAGCAUUGAGAUUCUACUAAUAUAAUUCACAAAGAUGCAAUCAAGUUGGGCAGCUUUGGGUAAUCCUAAUAACAGUCAAAUAAUGUCAGUGCCAUACCACUCAUCACAUCAAAGCCCGAAGCUCAACAUAAAUCAUAUAGGCUUUCGUGUGUAAUAAUUACUAGGUAUUUUCCUGUUAAUGGAGAAGUCUUUUGAUGACUGAGAG